RNAcentral lists this long non-coding RNA (1807 nucleotides) under Venturia canescens. RNAcentral's name for it is "uncharacterized LOC122415372, transcript variant X3". The record is from RNAcentral. Lineage: Eukaryota; Metazoa; Arthropoda; Insecta; Hymenoptera; Ichneumonidae.
UGUACCCGAAGUGUUUUGAAAGUCUUCGUUUCUUAGUGUUGUAUGGCACUUCCAGACAAUGUGAUUUAAAUAUUAGUCAUGAAUGAAUUACGUAACUUUCAUUGACUUCAUCGAGCCUGAUGCAGGAACAGCUGAGUAAUGGUGUUGUACACUGCUCAAGAAACAGGCGCGAAGAAUCAUGCACCAAAGAAAGAAACAACUUCAGGCCGUAGAACUUCAGCCGAACCGUGGGCCGAACCGGAGCCGUUAUCCAGUGGGCAGGCUCUAGACCUCUAGACUCACUCACCGUGCAGCCGGGAGUCUAGUCGAAAAGAAGAACUUUAGGCUGUACAAUGUGACAUGUGACAGGACAGGUGACACAACACGCUGUGAGUACCGUUAGCACUGGUACACGUACUGCAAAGCAAAAAUGGGUUGAAAUUUGCCAAGGAAAUAUUAUCGAAUCCAAAAUUUAGCGAGCGUGGAAAGAUUUUGACCAUGAUAGGUCUCACGCGGAAUCGUUUAGGAUGCAAGGAAGCGGCUCACGUCCCAUGUUUGUUCGCUCGUUUACGGUUUUUUGCAACGCUUCGACGAGAAAUACGAUCCAGCUAUCCAACGCACUGAAAUGGGUCAAGGAUAAUAUUCAGAGCCUCAGAAAUUUGGCUCCGAGAUCAGACCCGCCGGACCAACGCAACGCACUUCCUAAGUUUUGUCAUUUCAUGUCAUUUUUUGAGGAACCACAACAAGACAGCUCUUAAAAUAUCACAUACUUCUCGUAAUUCUCUUAUGCGAUAUAGGUAAAAUGCGAGAAACAAGAGUGAUUUCGAUUCUGAUGGCAAUUAGUACCUGUUGAGGAAUGGACGAAGCAACAACUCAUGAAAUUAGGACAAGUGGGAUAAUUGAAGGAAGAAGGAAGUAGUGGCAUGACUGGUUCAAGUACAACCAGGCUCGACUUUGCAAGAGAUGUAAUAACAUAUCUCACUUUGGAGCUAUUCAGUCACUUAUAUAGUGGUAGCAUGUUUUUCGACGGUUAUGACAGGAAAGUAACUUCGAUAGCGUUGUCGAAAGUCCUUGACCACAGUGUAACGUACAAUGACACGAAAUUGAACGAGAAUACUGUCAAAGAUAUCAAAGACGGCAAGUAGAACGAGGAAGAAAUCUCUUCUGCAAUUUUAUUGGUGGACUAUCAUUCUUGUACUUGUAAAAAUUUUGUAGCUCAUAAAUAAAUUGUCUGCUGAUACGAAAUCGACCGACACGAACGACGACGAGAUCACGAAUCAGAUCGUCACGGAACAAGCGUCGCUCGCGAUUUCCUUCAAAGAACGAGUACUCGUGACUCCUUCACCGCCUCAGUCUUCGUCACUGCCAUCGUCUCUGAAUUCGCAAGUUUCCGGGAAGUACCGGGCGAGUAGUUCACCAUUUCUGACGCCCCGAAAACAUCGACCUAAAUACAAAUACUAAAAAAAAGGUUUCGAAAAAUAGAAGAAGAGACGAAAAAAGACUGCAACUCCUGAAAAUAAAAAAAAAAAUUGUAUUUUCUUAGCUCUUUUUUUCUAUAUAAAACCUCGACCGAAGUCGUCGUUCGGUAACAAGAGACGCUAAGAAUUUAAAUUCUUAGCUUAGUUCAAUUAAUUCUUAUCACUAUCCGCUUUUUUCAAUCUUCUCGAUAUUUUUUUUUCUGCAAAGAUUCAAGGACUGAUUAUUUUUUAUUUGUAAAUAGUUUCCAGUUAGUCGUGAGCAUUUAUAUCGAUAAUUCCUAUGAAAAAUUCAAAUAAAACCAUUUCAAUAUUCAUGAUAACAUGGAAUUGGAAUAAAAAAAUUUAUUUCA